CCUACGGGUGGCUGCAGUGGGGAAUAUUGGACAAUGGGCGAAAGCCUGAUCCAGCCAUGCCGCGUGUGUGAAGAAGGCCUUCGGGUUGUAAAGCACUUUCAGUGGGGAAGAAAGCCUUGGGGCUAAUACCCUCGAGGAAGGACAUCACCCACAGAAGAAGCACCGGCUAACUCCGUGCCAGCAGCCGCGGUAAUACGGAGGGUGCGAGCGUUAAUCGGAAUUACUGGGCGUAAAGCGCGCGUAGGCGGUCUGAUAAGCCGGUUGUGAAAGCCCCGGGCUCAACCUGGGAACGGCAUUCGGAACUGUCAGGCUAGAGUGCAGGAGAGGAAGGUAGAAUUCCCGGUGUAGCGGUGAAAUGCGUAGAGAUCGGGAGGAAUACCAGUGGCGAAGGCGGCCUUCUGGACUGACACUGACGCUGAGGUGCGAAAGCGUGGGUAGCAAACAGGAUUAGAUACCCCAGUAGUC
Molecule: ribosomal RNA, 465 nt
Filed under: Vreelandella stevensii
Lineage: Bacteria; Pseudomonadati; Pseudomonadota; Gammaproteobacteria; Oceanospirillales; Halomonadaceae
Description: partial 16S ribosomal RNA
Rfam family: Bacterial small subunit ribosomal RNA
Source: RNAcentral